RNAcentral lists this ribosomal RNA (468 nucleotides) under uncultured bacterium. RNAcentral describes it as "partial 16S ribosomal RNA". It matches the Rfam family "Bacterial small subunit ribosomal RNA", at positions 28 to 507 of the family's 1533-position model. The record is from RNAcentral.
GACGAACGCUGGCGGCGUGCUUUACACAUGCAAGUCGAACGGAAAGGCCCUGCUUUUGUGGGGUGCUCGAGUGGCGAACGGGUGAGUAACACGUGAGUAACCUGCCCUUGACUUUGGGAUAACUUCAGGAAACUGGGGCUAAUACCGGAUAGGAGCUCCUGCUGCAUGGUGGGGGUUGGAAAGUUUCGGCGGUUGGGGAUGGACUCGCGGCUUAUCAGCUUGUUGGUGGGGUAGUGGCUUACCAAGGCUUUGACGGGUAGCCGGCCUGAGAGGGUGACCGGCCACAUUGGGACUGAGAUACGGCCCAGACUCCUACGGGAGGAAGCAGUGGGGAAUAUUGCACAAUGGGCGGAAGCCUGAUGCAGCAACGCCGCGUGCGGGAUGACGGCCUUCGGGUUGUAAACCGCUUUCGCCUGUGACGAAGCGUGAGUGACGGUAAUGGGUAAAGAAGCACCGGCUAACUACGUG